RNAcentral lists this ribosomal RNA (253 nucleotides) under uncultured bacterium. Its description in RNAcentral is "partial 16S ribosomal RNA". It matches the Rfam family "Bacterial small subunit ribosomal RNA", at positions 524 to 776 of the family's 1533-position model. The record is from RNAcentral.
AACGUAGGAGGCGUACGUUAUCCGGAUUUACUGGGUGUAAAGCGCGUGCAGGCGGCCUUGUAAGGCGUGCGUGAAAGCGCCUGGCUCAACCGGGCGAGGACGGGCGCAACUGCAAGGCUGGAGGCGGGUAGAGGGGCGUGGAAUGCCGGGUGUAGUGGUGGAAUGCGUAGAGAUCCGGAGGAACACCAGUGGCGAAGGCGACGCGCCGGGCCUGGCCUGACGUUAAGACGCGAAAGCAUGGGGAGCGAACGGG